This is a long non-coding RNA of Tympanuchus pallidicinctus (lesser prairie-chicken), 4168 nucleotides long. RefSeq lists it as uncharacterized. The transcript has 4 exons. Lineage: Eukaryota; Metazoa; Chordata; Aves; Galliformes; Phasianidae. The record is from RefSeq and is a predicted model, not a curated record.
UCUGUUCAUUUCCCAACCGAAAUAAUCUCUUUGCCUCUCAGGAAGGCAUAUUCCCCGUUCCACAUUGCCUGGAGUCAACUGGAGAGAAUGUACGCUAUCAUUUCAGCCCAACCUAGGUGUGGUGUCAUCUACAGGAGCACACAGAAGUUUUAAUCAGGCCAUCUGGAACUUUCCCAGAGAAGAGAUGGAGAGCUUCCAAGGAACUGAUCUGUAAAAGAUAAGUCUUUACUGAUCACAUGCAAACUGAAAUUUUCCAGGUUUCCUAAAUUAGAGUAGAUUUGUACAAAAAUAGCAGCUGGCACUUGUAUGACAAAAUAGUUAAUAUCGCUACCUAAAGCCUGGACUCAGUGGAAAGUGUUGAAGAAAAGGUUUAAAGCGGAGGGCAUACAAAAUCAUAAACACUGAAUUUCUCAUCAGUUGUCUCAUUCACAGAACAAUCUUAAUUAUUUUGGCAGAAGUAAGGUCCAAGUUGGAGCAUGGAGGCUUUCAUCCCAUGCAUUUUUCCAAACACAUAAAUAUGAAGAGUCGUUUAAAAAAUUAGGUCACCUUAGUAGAUGGCAGCAAUUCUAACAUUUUUAGAAUUAUUAAACGCGUACAUUAAUAUGUUACAAAAGCAGAUAUAAGGCUCUGUAGGGAUGUUUUUAAUGAGAAAAUGCUAUUGCCAAGGUAACUCAGUGCUAUCAGUUUUCUUCCACCCCUUCCUACAUAAAUGUAGAUAGAAUUUUUGCAGAUUAUUAAUUGAUUAGAACGAUACAAGAUACUGAAGGGUAUUAAAAUUUUACACUGAUAUUCAGGAGCUGCAUUGUAGAGGUUCAUUACUUUAGUAUUAAUAUUUUGAACCAAGCAUUCAUUUUUAUAUUUGGGAAUUCAGGUAAUGCUGCAGAAGAAUUAAAAUCUUAAGAACUGCCAGUUGGACAGGAGUAUAAAGAACUUACCAAUGACACAUUAUUCAUACCAGUAAAUUCUUAUUGUUAUUUCCUUGCCAAUCCACUGAAUGGAAAAAUAGCACAAAGGAAAAUGAUUUUAAAUCUUUUUCCAGUAAUUCUUCAAAGCUAUCCCGCUAUUAAUCAUUGGAGUUCACGUCAUCUAGCUAAGAAUGCACAAUAUUCCAAAGUAUUGCCAACAUUUUUCUUUAUUGAUCACACACUGGCACCAAAUCACAGUAUCUUAUUCCCACAGCGCCACAAAAACAGAAAAACUUCAGCUUCACUACCAUCUGGAUCACAGAUCAUCCCAUAAAAUGUGUUCAGGUUGACAUGUAAACGGCAAACCCAAACUACCCAAGCCUGUGUGCUUUCCAUCUGUCUUUGAACUCUGCUAAUGAGCCUCAGAAGCACAAAGAGAAAAACUUUGCAAGGUGGAGGACUGAUUUGGAGAGACUGUCUGCUGCUUACUGAAAAGCCAUUCCUGAAAAUUCGCUGUGGUUGUACAUGGCUGAGGAAAACUUCACAUGACUGAGCAUUUACUUAAAAGUAUCUUAGUCUUUUCUGGACGUGAUAAAAAAGAACUGAAGACCAUUUCCACAUAUGUGGGAUGUAAUUUAGUUGUAUUAGCCGUAGGAAUAAGGAUUCAUACAGCUGGUAGUAAAAGCAAACAGGUCCUUGAUGUUGCUGGGUGGACACAAAGGAAACAGCUGGAUGCUCUACAAUGCUGCCUGACCCACCUGUCUCUUCUCCUCUGGUCCAUAAUGCUGCUUGAAGCAAAGAGUGUAUUUAGUGCUGUUACCAUGUGCUACUUCAGCCUGGGAGAGCUGAACUUGGACACUCUUAUCUCUAUUUAUAGUGCUUUUUUUUCCUUUCAUAUUGACAUUUUUCCCUAUUGUGCACAUCUCCAGAUCAUUUGGUUUCCUUCUAUUUGUAAGAAUUGCAUGGCAUCCCACGAAACAGUCUGUUGGCUGCUCAGUUUCCCACAUGGUCUUCUAUGCAUACAUCUGCACAGUGUUUAGAGGAGGAGCACACUUUCAAAGCAAGAAUUAAUGUAAAUACCUAAAUGUACAAAUUGUGCACAGCAGAUCACACUAUUUAUACCAUGCUGCACUUGGGAGCCUUCAUGAAUGCAGUCAUUAAAGCUGGACAACAACCAGCAUGAUUAUUAUGACAGCCUUUGCUCACUAAACUGAAAAAAGGAAAAACUGUGCAAAUUAACACUGAUCUUUGCUUAAUGUACUGUGCUAUGUUAGAUUAUUAUGCAUUGCCAGUACACUGCUGAUUUUAAAAUUAACUUAGCUGAUGGAUGCAUAUUCUAUACUAAAAUAUCUGGAUAUUUUGCAGUUUCAUGAUAUUCCAGAAACACCUUUAGUUGAACUGACAGAUGAGUAAAUUAUGUAGUGAUGAAUUUCCCUUUCAGUUGCAUGGGAGAUCUGCUUCUCCUUUUCUCAGACCAAAAAUCUGAGAAUGUCAUGAUUCCAUGUGCUACAUGAAAACAGGUGAAUUGUGACUGAUAUUCUGAGCUGCCAAUUCUGUUCUAUAUACAGGAAAGACUGUGCAGCCAGGUUUAACAUGCUAAGAUGAUGCUCCUUAUCCCCUUCAUGUUGAAAUUAGACUAAAAAACAGCCUUUCCAGGUGCUGCUGCUGCUGCAGGCUGAUGGAAUGUUGAGCAAUUAAUUCUCUCUUACUUAAUUUAUUCUGUUAGAUGGAGGUGAUGGUACCUUCUUUUUACAGGUGCUUUGUAUUCUGAGCAUGGAACACAAAAUGCAGUUUCUAAUGUAACUCUAUUUGUUUGAAGGCAAUUUUGAACAAUACAAUGUAAAUGAACUCAGGGGCAUAAAGACUGAGAAAGAAAUGGAAUUGUGGAAGUUUUUGGCAUGUAAUUGCAUUGCCAAACAAGGAGUUCUGUGGUUCACCCAGGUAAUUAUUCCACAAAAUGCUGGGGUGGUGCUUUGCAGCUUUCAUAGCGAUGAAACUUCUGUUUCCUCCCAGUAAUCCAAGCAUUAAAACAUAAUAUUUUUUUGGAAUUGAAAUGAUUUGUUCUCACCUGGUCAUCAUUUAUUACCCUGAAGGAUAUCUUUCUUCCAUUUUACCUCCAUUUCAUCUUUUUUCUAUAUUAGAAAUGCAUGCUCAGUAUUUCACCAGAAGCCAUAUUAAUUUUUGACUGAAUUUGAAUGUACUUUAUUGCUGUUUUUAAGGUCUGUUUCUGUAGUAACAAGGAGAAUUUCGUUCUUUUCCCCCCUGUAGACGUGUCAAGCGCUUCUGCCUAACCCAAAACAGCUUGCAGUAUCCAAAUGUUUUUCUGAAUGUCUUUAUUCCUCCUGUCUCAUACACCUCACUGUAAGCAAUCACAAUUUAUACUCCUUUUUGUAGCUACAAACAUAAAAACUUAUGAGCAGGAGCUAAACUUUGAGGCUGGUGUAAUUCAAAAAGGGCCCCCAAAGUUUAAAUAUAAAAUGAAAUUUUACUGGAAGAUAUCUCUGGUUUGUCUGUGUUACCUUUGGUAAGAAAGUAGCUUAGUCUUCCUACCAUGCAUUUUUAUCUGUAAUAUAUAUUGUGAAUUCAAUAAUGUCAAUAAUUUGCUGUCCUCUUGUGUUGGUAGUUUCAAGAAAACAAAUAGCACAUAAAUAUUAACAAAAGAAUGAGUAGUGAAGAAUCCAAAUUACAUGGAAAGUAAUCUUUCAGACAAAGAAGCCUUCUGAGCUGUAUAUUUUAUACUCACAGUCAGCAACAACAGGAAAGCUGCUCCCUACCCCCAGCCUAAUUACCAUGGGCUUUACAGCUCUUACAACACCUGGUUUCUUCUCUCCUUUCAAAGUUGAGGUUUCUUGGACGUAAAUCCAUCAAUCCAUCAAGCAUUAACUCAAAAUCUUUGAACAUUUCUUUGUUCCUGUGCAACAUCAGAUUUACUGUUGUCACAGUGAAUAGAAAUCACAGAAGGUAGAACAGAGAAAAGAUGGCACGUACACCCUCACAACAGUUAUACCAUUUAAUCUGCUUCUGCAGAUGUACAGGACUUCAUCCCCCACACUAAUUGGAAAGUCCCAAUUUGAGAAUUAGACUGAAACAUAAUUUUGUAACAGACAUUAUUUGGGAAAAAAGAAACAAAACCAGACCCCAAAGCUAAUCUUCCACAGAAAGAAUCAGAGCAGUGGCGUGUUAGUUUUUAAAAGGAAACAAAACCAGCAUUAUGUUGGUUAUGUACCAGUAGUAUUUUAAAAUUGAAAUACAUUUCUGUAAAA